GCGUCGGUGGUGCAACGAUUUAGCACAUGCUCGUGUAAAGAGUGAGAAUCUGGGUUCAAAUCCCGGCUGACGCA
Molecule: non-coding RNA, 74 nt
Organism: Parelaphostrongylus tenuis
Lineage: Eukaryota; Metazoa; Nematoda; Chromadorea; Rhabditida; Metastrongylidae
Source: the annotation of a GenBank genome assembly